This 911-nucleotide ribosomal RNA is filed under the name uncultured bacterium. RNAcentral's name for it is "bacterial SSU rRNA". It matches the Rfam family "Bacterial small subunit ribosomal RNA", at positions 33 to 926 of the family's 1533-position model. The record is from RNAcentral.
ACGCUGGCGGCGUGCCUAAUACAUGCAAGUAGAACGCUGAAGCUUGGUGCUUGCACCGAGCGGAUGAGUUGCGAACGGGUGAGUAACGCGUAGGUAACCUGCCUCUUAGCGGGGGAUAACUAUUGGAAACGAUAGCUAAUACCGCAUAAAAGACGAUAUCGCAUGAUGUUGAUUUGAAAGGUGCAAAUGCAUCACUAAGAGAUGGACCUGCGUUGUAUUAGCUAGUUGGUGAGGUAACGGCUCACCAAGGCGACGAUACAUAGCCGACCUGAGAGGGUGAUCGGCCACACUGGGACUGAGACACGGCCCAGACUCCUACGGGAGGCAGCAGUAGGGAAUCUUCGGCAAUGGGGGCAACCCUGACCGAGCAACGCCGCGUGAGUGAAGAAGGUUUUCGGAUCGUAAAGCUCUGUUGUAAGAGAAGAACGAGUGUGAGAGUGGAAAGUUCACACUGUGACGGUAACUUACCAGAAAGGGACGGCUAACUACGUGCCAGCAGCCGCGGUAAUACGUAGGUCCCGAGCGUUAUCCGGAUUUAUUGGGCGUAAAGCGAGCGCAGGCGGUUAGAUAAGUCUGAAGUUAAAGGCUGUGGCUUAACCAUAGUACGCUUUGGAAACUGUUUAACUUGAGUGCAGAAGGGGAGAGUGGAAUUCCAUGUGUAGCGGUGAAAUGCGUAGAUAUAUGGAGGAACACCGGUGGCGAAAGCGGCUCUCUGGUCUGUAACUGACGCUGAGGCUCGAAAGCGUGGGGAGCAAACAGGAUUAGAUACCCUGGUAGUCCACGCCGUAAACGAUGAGUGCUAGGUGUUGGGUCCUUUCCGGGACUCAGUGCCGCAGCUAACGCAUUAAGCACUCCGCCUGGGGAGUACGACCGCAAGGUUGAAACUCAAAGGAAUUGACGGGGGCCCGCAC